GUAGGCGGUCUGUUAGGUCGGGAGUUAAAUCCGGAGGCUCAACCUCCGCCCGCUCCCGAUACCGGCAGACUUGAGUUUGGUAGGGGAAGGUGGAAUUCCUAGUGUAGCGGUGGAAUGCGCAGAUAUUAGGAAGAACACCAGUGGCGAAGGCGGCCUUCUGGGCCAUAACUGACGCUGAGGAGCGAAAGCUAGGGGAGCAAACAGGAUUAGAUACCCUGGUAGUCCUAGCUGUAAACGAUGGACACUAGGUGUGGGAGAAUACGUCUUCCGUGCCGCAGCUAACGCAUUAAGUGUCCC
Molecule: ribosomal RNA, 297 nt
Filed under: Atopobium sp. HMSC064B08
Lineage: Bacteria; Bacillati; Actinomycetota; Coriobacteriia; Coriobacteriales; Atopobiaceae
Description: partial 16S ribosomal RNA
Rfam family: Bacterial small subunit ribosomal RNA
Source: RNAcentral